AUCGCUUCUCGGCCUUUUGGCUAAGAUCAAGUGUAGUAAAAAAUAUCAUAUUGAAAAAGUGCUGUAGAACUUGA
Molecule: small nuclear RNA, 74 nt
Filed under: Lynx canadensis (Canada lynx)
Lineage: Eukaryota; Metazoa; Chordata; Mammalia; Carnivora; Felidae
Also listed under: 1 other name
Description: U2 spliceosomal RNA (ENSLCNG00005011654.1)
Source: Rfam by way of RNAcentral